UACGUAGGGAGCAAGCGUUGUCCGGAAUCAUUGGGCGUAAAGCGCGCGUAGGCGGCCCUGUAAGUCCGCUGUGAAAGUCAAAGGCUCAACCUUUGAAAGCCGGGGGAUACUGCAGGGCUAGAGUCCGGAAGAGGCGAGUGGAAUUCCUGGUGUAGCGGUGGAAUGCGCAGAUAUCAGGAAGAACACCCGUGGCGAAGGCGGCUCUCUGGGACGGUACUGACGCUGAGACGCGAAAGCGUGGGGAGCGAACAGG
Molecule: ribosomal RNA, 253 nt
Filed under: uncultured bacterium
Lineage: Bacteria
Description: partial 16S ribosomal RNA
Rfam family: Bacterial small subunit ribosomal RNA
Source: RNAcentral